GGAGCACGUGGGUAUCUGCCUUGGCGUGGGGGACAACGCACCGAAAGGGGCGCUAAUCCCGCAUACGCUCUUCGGAGGAAAGACGUAAGUCGCGCUAAGAUGAGCCUGCGGCCCAUCAGGUAGUUGGUGUGGUAAAAGCGCACCAAGCCGAUGACGGGUCCCUGGUCUGAGAGGACGACCAGGCAGACUGGGACUGAGACACGGCCCAGACUCCUACGGGAGGCAGCAGCAAGGAAUUUUCCGCAAUGGGCGCAAGCCUGACGGAGCAACGCCGCGUGCCGGAAGACGGCCUUCGGGUUGUAAACGGCUUUUUGUUGGGACGAUAAUGACGGUACCAACGGAAUAAGCCCCGGCUAACUCCGUGCCAGCAGCCGCGGUAAUACGGAGGGGGCAAGCGUUGUCCGGACUUACUGGGCGUAAAGCGUGCGUAGGCGGUGCGGUGCGUCGGCACUGAAAGCUCCCGGCUUAACCGGGAGAGGUGUGGCGAUACGACCGCGCUAGAGGCACGGAGAGGGUGGCGGAAUUCCGGGUGUAGUGGUGAAAUGCGUAGAGCUCCGGAGGAACGUCGGUGGGGAAGCCGGCCACCUGGUCGUGACCUGACGCUGAGGCACGAAAGCGUGGGGAGCAAACCGGAUUAGAUACCCGGGUAGUCCACGCAGUAAACGAUGUUCGCUCGGUGUACGGUUCUGCGACAAGCAGAACGGUGUGCCCAAGUUCACACGGUAAGCGAACCGCCUGGGGACUACGAGCGCAAGCUUAAAACUCAAAGGAAUUGAUGGGGGCCCGCACAAGCAGCGGAGCGUGUGGUUUAAUUAGACGCAACGCGCAGAUCCUUACCCAGGUUUGACAUGUUAUUGCAAGCGCACAGAAAUGUGUGACCUUCGAGGGUGUAGCACAGGUGCUGCAUGGCGGUAGUCAGCUCGUGUCUUGAGAUGUUGGGUUAAGUCCCGCAACGAGCGCAACCCUCGUCGAUAGUUAUACGUGUCUAUCGGGACUGCCCUUCGGGGAGGAAGGCGGGGAUGACGUCAAGUCCGCAUGGCCCUUACGCCUGGGGCGACACACACGCUACAAUGCCACCGACAAUGCGUUGCGAGCCGGCAACGGUCAGCUAAUCGCCAAAGCGGUGGCUCAGUGCAGAUCGGGGGC
RNAcentral lists this ribosomal RNA (1146 nucleotides) under uncultured organism. RNAcentral's name for it is "bacterial SSU rRNA". It matches the Rfam family "Bacterial small subunit ribosomal RNA", at positions 110 to 1305 of the family's 1533-position model. The record is from RNAcentral.